UUCUUUAAAAUUAAAGAAUUUGGCGGUAUUUUAGUCUGUUCAGAGGAACCUGUUUUUUAAUUGAUAGUCCACGAUAAAUUUUACUUUUGUUUUUAAUUUAUAUAUCGUUGUUUGUAAAAAUUUUAUGAUUUAAUUUUUUCAGAUCAAGGUGUAGUUUAUAUAAAAGUUAAAAUGGGUUACAUUAAAAAUUUUAAUUAAAUUGGAUUUGAUAGUAAGCUCUAAAAUAUGCACAUAUCGCCCGUCGCUUUCACUUUAAGGUGAAAUAAGUCGUAACAAAGUAGGCUUAUUGGAAAAUGGGCCUAGAAUGCAAAUUAGAGCUUGUUAAGCUUUUUAUUUACACUAAAAAGUUAAUUGUGAAAUUCAAUUUAAUUUGAACUUUAUUUGUUAUUGUUUAUUUUUUUUAUUAAUUUAUAGUAGAAGAAUUUAUUUUCUUAUUUUAUUUAUGAAAAGAAUUUAUUAUAGUUUAUGGUACUGUAAAGGAUUUAAAGUUUUUAAAAGGAGAAUUGUUUUUUUGUACCUGNNNNNNNNNNNNNNUUUGAUUUUCCCGAAUUUAGAAUAGCUAUUUUUACUGUAGAAUAAGUAUUUUGAAUAUUCUUGUAGGAGUGAAACGUUAUUCGUUUCUAAAUAUAUCUGGUUUCUUAAGAAAUUAGUUAAAUUUGUUUGAUUUUAGAAAUGGGAUGGGGAUAAGCUUGAUAAUAAAAUUUUAUAAAUUUUUAUUUUUUUAUUUUAUAUAGGAUUAUAAUUUUCCAUUAUUUUAAGUAUGUUAUAUUUUAUAGUUUUAAUUUUUUAUUAAGAUUUAAUUUUAAUUUUUUUUUGGUUAGUAAUAAUGAUAGGAUUAGUAAGGUAGGUUUAAGGAACUCGGCAAAUACAAUUUUCACCUGUUUAUUAAAAACAUGGCUUUUUGUUUAUGAUUUAAGGUCUGACCUGCCCAAUGAUUAAAUGGCCGCAGUAUUUUGACUGUGCAAAGGUAGCAUAAUCAUUAGUUUUUUAAUUGAAAGCUGGAAUGAAUGGUUUGAUGAGAAAUUAACUGUCUCUAGAAUUUUAUUUUUAAGUAAGAAAGCUUGGAUUUUGUAUAAAGACGAGAAGACCCUAUAGAGUUUUAUUGGGGUGAUAAAUAAAUUUAAUUAACUUUAUUUUUUUUUGAUUUUUUGAUCCCGGAUUAUAAGAUAAAAUUAC
RNAcentral lists this ribosomal RNA (1176 nucleotides) under Notocistela sp. NLG-2012. RNAcentral describes it as "partial 16S ribosomal RNA". The record is from RNAcentral. Lineage: Eukaryota; Metazoa; Arthropoda; Insecta; Coleoptera; Tenebrionidae.